CCCGAAACCCGGUGAUCUAGCCAUGGGCAGGUUGAAGGUUGGGUAACACUAACUGGAGGACCGAACCGACUAAUGUUGAAAAAUUAGCGGAUGACUUGUGGCUGGGGGUGAAAGGCCAAUCAAACCGGGAGAUAGCUGGUUCUCCCCGAAAGCUAUUUAGGUAGCGCCUCGUGAACUCAUCUUCGGGGGUAGAGCACUGUUUCGGCUAGGGGGUCAUCCCGACUUACCAACCCGAUGCAAACUACGAAUACCGAAGAAUGUUAUCACGGGAGACACACGGCGGGUGCUAACGUCCGUCGUGAAGAGGGAAACAACCCAGACCGCCAGCUAAGGUCCCAAAGUCAUGGUUAAGUGGGAAACGAUGUGGGAAGGCACAGACAGCCAGGAUGUUGGCUUAGAAGCAGCCAUCAUUUAAAGAAAGCGUAAUAGCUCACUGGUCGAGUCGGCCUGCGCGGAAGAUGUAACGGGGCUAAACCAUGCACCGAAGCUGCGGCAGCGACACUAUGUGUUGUUGGGUAGGGGAGCGUUCUGUAAGCCUGCGAAGGUGACCUGUGAGGCAUGCUGGAGGUAUCAGAAGUGCGAAUGCUGACAUAAGUAACGAUAAAGCGGGUGAAAAGCCCGCUCGCCGGAAGACCAAGGGUUCCUGUCCAACGUUAAUCGGGGCAGGGUGAGUCGACCCCUAAGGCGAGGCCGAAAGGCGUAGUCGAUGGGAAACAGGUUAAUAUUCCUGUACUUGGUGUUACUGCGAAGGGGGGACGGAGAAGGCUAUGUUAGCCGGGCGACGGUUGUCCCGGUUUAAGCAUGUAGGCUGAUUAUCCAGGCAAAUCCGGAUAAUCAAGGCUGAGGUGUGAUGACGAGGCACUACGGUGCUGAAGUAACAAAUGCCCUGCUUCCAGGAAAAGCCUCUAAGCAUCAGGUAACAUUAAAUCGUACCCCAAACCGACACAGGUGGUCAGGUAGAGAAUACCAAGGCGCUUGAGAGAACUCGGGUGAAGGAACUAGGCAAAAUGGUGCCGUAACUUCGGGAGAAGGCACGCUGGUGUGUAGGUGAAGCCCCUGCGGGUGGAGCUGAGACCAGUCGAAGAUACCAGCUGGCUGCAACUGUUUAUUAAAAACACAGCACUGUGCAAACACGAAAGUGGACGUAUACGGUGUGACGCCUGCCCGGUGCCGGAAGGUUAAUUGAUGGGGUUAUCCGUAAGGAGAAGCUCUUGAUCGAAGCCCCGGUAAACGGCGGCCGUAACUAUAACGGUCCUAAGGUAGCGAAAUUCCUUGUCGGGUAAGUUCCGACCUGCACGAAUGGCGUAAUGAUGGCCAGGCUGUCUCCACCCGAGACUCAGUGAAAUUGAACUCGCUGUGAAGAUGCAGUGUACCCGCGGCAAGACGGAAAGACCCCGUGAACCUUUACUAUAGCUUGACACUGAACAUUGAGCCUUGAUGUGUAGGAUAGGUGGGAGGCUUUGAAGCGUGGACGCCAGUCUGCGUGGAGCCAACCUUGAAAUACCACCCUUUAAUGUUUGAUGUUCUAACGUUGGCCCCUUACCGGGGUUGCGGACAGUGUCUGGUGGGUAGUUUGACUGGGGCGGUCUCCUCCCAAAGCGUAACGGAGGAGCACGAAGGUUAGCUAAUCCUGGUCGGACAUCAGGAGGUUAGUGCAAUGGCAUAAGCUAGCUUGACUGCGAGCGUGACGGCGCGAGCAGGUGCGAAAGCAGGUCAUAGUGAUCCGGUGGUUCUGAAUGGAAGGGCCAUCGCUCAACGGAUAAAAGGUACUCCGGGGAUAACAGGCUGAUACCGCCCAAGAGUUCAUAUCGACGGCGGUGUUUGGCACCUCGAUGUCGGCUCAUCACAUCCUGGGGCUGAAGUAGGUCCCAAGGGUAUGGCUGUUCGCCAUUUAAAGUGGUACGCGAGCUGGGUUUAGAACGUCGUGAGACAGUUCGGUCCCUAUCUGCCGUGGGCGCUGGAGAAUUGAGGGGGGCUGCUCCUAGUACGAGAGGACCGGAGUGGACGCAUCACUGGUGUUCGGGUUGUCAUGCCAAUGGCACUGCCCGGUAGCUAAAUGCGGAAGAGAUAAGUGCUGAAAGCAUCUAAGCACGAAACUUGCCCCGAGAUGAGUUCUCCCUGAGACUUUAAGUCUCCUGAAGGAACGUUAAAGACGAUGACGUUGAUAGGCCGGGUGUGUAAGCGCAGCGAUGCGUUGAGCUAACCGGUACUAAUGAACCGUGAGGCUUAACCUU
Molecule: ribosomal RNA, 2234 nt
Filed under: Klebsiella pneumoniae
Lineage: Bacteria; Pseudomonadati; Pseudomonadota; Gammaproteobacteria; Enterobacterales; Enterobacteriaceae
Description: bacterial LSU rRNA
Rfam family: Bacterial large subunit ribosomal RNA
Source: RNAcentral